RNAcentral lists this ribosomal RNA (491 nucleotides) under uncultured bacterium. RNAcentral describes it as "partial 16S ribosomal RNA". It matches the Rfam family "Bacterial small subunit ribosomal RNA", at positions 29 to 506 of the family's 1533-position model. The record is from RNAcentral.
AGUGAACGCUGGCGGUAGGCCUAACACAUGCAAGUCGAACGGCAGCACAGUAAGAGCUUGCUCUUACGGGUGGCGAGUGGCGGACGGGUGAGGAAUACAUCGGAAUCUACUUUUUCGUGGGGGAUAACGUAGGGAAACUUACGCUAAUACCGCAUACGACCUACGGGUGAAAGCAGGGGAUCUUCGGACCUUGCGCGAUUGAAUGAGCCGAUGUCGGAUUAGCUAGUUGGCGGGGUAAAGGCCCACCAAGGCGACGAUCCGUAGCUGGUCUGAGAGGAUGAUCAGCCACACGGGAACUGAGAACCGGUCCAGACUCCUCGGGGAGGCAGCAGUGGGGAAUAUUGGAAAAUGGGCGCAAGCCUGAUCCAGCCAUACCGGGGGGGGGAAGAAGGCCUUCGGGUUGAAAAGCCCUUUUGUUGGGAAAAAAAAGCAGCAGGUUAAUACCCCGCUGUUCUGGCGGUACCAAAAGAAUAAGCACCGGAUAACUUCGU